GGGCCUCCCAGGCCCUAGCCAGCUAUGCCACCACCUUCAGCCUUUUAUUUUCUUUUUUUAUUUUUUUUUAAUUACUGAGGGAAAAUAUAAACAUAAGCAAAAAAAAAAAAAGCCUCCCCUGCAGGCGCGAGCGGGGGUGGCGAGGAGGCCGACGAAGGCGGUAAUGCAACCCUAAUGCAUAGAUAGCUGACAUCAACUUCCGUCAGGCAGCUCCUGGAGAUCGAACCUUUCGAUUGUAACUGGGACAAUUUGCAUAGUGAUUCCCUUUCAGAGCUUUCCCGGGUCCAUAACAAGCCCAGGCAGCUAUUCAAAUGCAAGUUGCAUCCCCAAAUGCGAGGCUGGCCUGACCAAAAAGAGCCAGUCGGCGCCCGGAAGAGGCGAGACUCGCGCUUGGGUUCUCAAUCCUUCUCUUUUCUCCUUUCUUUUUCCCUUUCUCCUCUCCGGUUCCUGAUUUAGCUGGGAGCUGUUUAUUUAUGGCUGCAAAUGUGUGUGUUCAAGAGAGAGAGGGAAUUGAUCUUUGCCUGGACUUAAAGAUGGAGCCGAAGAAGCUGGAGGGAAUUUGGGCUUGUGCGUCUGGCCCAGACCCUGUGCGCCGAGCCCGAGGUCUAUCCUCCCCGCACCUCUCACCUCGCGACCUUGCAGGAAUCCGCGGGCCCGGAUGCUGCCCAGCUGACCCUCCUGCCCCGGGCCUGGCUGCAGAGAAAGUCUUCGGGCAGGAGGCCAUCCUGUUCCUGUCUUUAAAAUGAGCACAAUAAAAGGGGGCAAAUCCUCGAACGCGAACCUGAUCUCAUGUCACAGAAGCAACUUGCCAUGAAAUCCGCUAAUGCGCUGCGACUCGCCCACCAGGGCAGCGUGCGGCGGCCGAACUGCACCUGCGUUUGUGAGCCUUGUAGAAAUGGAGCCCACCGGAUUCCCUCACCCGGAGAAAUGCCCAAACUGAAACUUGACUACACUUCCCUGGGCUGGUUCACGGUUUCAUAAUCUCCCAGGUUUGCUGGCUGUGUCACCAAAUCCAAGCCAAACCUGCUAUAAACAUGAUCACAGGCCACUGACCUCGCAGCACUGACCGAUAACUCGGUGGCAAAAUCAGCUCCUCUGGUCAGAGGUUAUUAAAGCAGCGGCUGAAUUCGUGUUUGUUUUUUUGAAGUGGUCAGAAAAACGUAGUCUUCUUAAACCUACAAAAACAGUCAAACACAUUUGCAAAUGUGCUUUACUUGUAUUGGUUCGAGUGCUGGAAGCUGUCUGGCGGUGAGCUUUUUCGUUGCGUGUGGUUUAUGCAGAGCACCCGGGAUGUUUUUCUCGUCUUUUACGUCUUGGUAUCUUUUAAAAAUGUAGAAUGUGUCUCUGAUUGUUUCACAGUAUGUUCCUUAACAACCAGAUAUGUAAGAAAACGUUUGGGAUUGAGUGGUGAGAAAAGCAGACUGGAAAGUACAAAUAAACCCAAUCCAAAUGGAAAACAAAUUAAACAGAUGAAAUGAUUAUGAAAGAAGAUGGGGGAAUUAACUUGUCUGGAAAAAAUCGAGUUUAGGGUCUGAACUUUACAGAUUAAAUGGCAACACAGAACAAAUCCAAAGGAAUUAAAUCUAUUCUUUUGCCCUCCUAGGCAUCUGGGUCAGAUGCACAUUUUGAGGCAUUUCAACAGACAGAUCAGCUCUGGGACACUUGCACACUUUUUUGGUAAACUGCAACCUAUUACGUGACCUUUAAUCCUGGUGGAAAACAAUUUAAAAUGUAUUCCUGGCUUUAGGAAACAAAAGAAAAAUUUUAAACCCUGGCAGUUAAAUUAUUACUGGUCUCUACAGGGUUAAUUUAAUGUAAAUAAUCUACUCUCCUGAGGGAAAAGGUGGAGGCCUGGCAUUCUGGAAGGGCCAGUCAGGUGGUGACAAAACUGUGUGCCUUGGGGUUUUGAGGGGUGUGUUGGGUGGCUCUGAACCUGGCUUUGGGUUUGUUACAUCUCUCGCUCUCUUAAAACAGUAACUCAAGAUGUAAGUAAAAGUGUUUUCAUUUUUUAUUGAUCCUGCUAACAUCUUUCAUUAUCCAGCAUGUAGCCACAGCAAAUUAUUGCUCAUUUGAUACUGAGAAUUCUAUUGACCAUCGCUUUCGUUGGAGAGAGAAUUCUAACUACUCGGCUGCUCUGUCAUCAGUCAGAGCUAAGGCUGAGGACUUUCCACCACUAAAACCAAAAUAAAUUGAGCCUUCUGCCUCCAGAAA
This 2211-nucleotide long non-coding RNA is filed under the name Homo sapiens (human). RNAcentral describes it as "novel transcript". Lineage: Eukaryota; Metazoa; Chordata; Mammalia; Primates; Hominidae. The record is from RNAcentral.